UACGUAGGGAGCGAGCGUUAUCCGGAUUUAUUGGGUGUAAAGGGUGCGUAGACGGGACAAUAAGUUAGUUGUGAAAUCCCUCGGCUCAACUGAGGAACUGCAACUAAAACUGUUAUUCUUGAGUGUUGGAGAGGUAAUCGGAAUUCCUAGUGUAGCGGUGAAAUGCGUAGAUAUUAGGAGGAACACCAGUGGCGAAGGCGACUUACUGGACUGUAACUGACGUUGAGGCACGAAAGUGUGGGGAGCAA
This 248-nucleotide ribosomal RNA is filed under the name uncultured Oscillospiraceae bacterium. RNAcentral's name for it is "partial 16S ribosomal RNA". It matches the Rfam family "Bacterial small subunit ribosomal RNA", at positions 524 to 771 of the family's 1533-position model. The record is from RNAcentral. Lineage: Bacteria; Bacillati; Bacillota; Clostridia; Eubacteriales; Oscillospiraceae.